ACAAAAGUAACCUGAGCAGCCCCGGCGUAAAGUUACAAAGAAAGUGAACCUCAAAAGGAAAAAGGGCCUGCACUCAGAGCUCGGCGGAUUCCCGUGCGCUCUGGGCACGGAUCUUGGAAAGCUGCGAAAGUCACCAAAAAGAAGCAGGCAAGCAAACAAAAGUUGCCCCAAAAGAAGAGGGUACCCUCUGGGCUCUUUCCGAGUCCCACAGGGCAACGACGCGCGGGCAGCGGCUGCGGAGGCCCGGCGGAGAUUAGAUAGCUUUGCUUUUCUUCCAUCAACCAGACCCGGAGAGACAGAGUAUCCUCCACCUUUCUUGAAAUCUCAAUUCUUGCAUCCCAAAAUGAAGAGCCCAAGACAUCACUUUGUCCUAUGAAGCUUCCUGUCUUUUACCACAGAGGUUAACAAGGAGAGCUGGAGGAAAUGGAAUCCAAGAUGAAAGAAUGAAGAGGAAUAAAGGUUCGGCUUGCAAGGCACUGCCUGAAGUUGCAUACCAGCUGAGCUCCACAUUGAGGAACUUGAGGGGGAAUUAAUGAAAGUGAAGCGAUCAAGAAUGCUGAACAUAAAUCUCACCUACUACACUAUUUUGCUUGCACUCAGUUUGGCUUCCCAGGCUUCUCCAAUUUGUUCCUCAGACACUCUGGUCAAAUAAAUCAUUAUUCCACCAGUGAUGAUAACUGUUCCAAAAAGCAAACUAUCAGACGCCACCCAUUCAAUCCUCUAGCUCUGAAAUGUGCCAGAAUAUUCUUGGCCUGUGCUUGGAUGAAUAAAUGGAUGGGGAGAAUUAAGCACUGCUGACUAGAAAAUGAUUUUUUAAAUGCAGCCAAGGAGGCAUCAUUUUCUUUUUAUUCAGGAGGUCAUUCAAAGAAGACAGAAAGACAAGCAGAUUAUCUUUCUCCUAAAGGGAAUGCAGAAGUGGUGUUUUUAAAAGAGAGUCCUUUAAUGCUGUGUAAUAUACAAUGUAUUUAUUCUGGAUAUUAAUUUAAAAUAUUAGAUAUACACAACUGAGAUAUUUUCUGUCAUAGUUUAAAGUUUAUCUGGAUUAUAGCUUAAGAAUGCUAUGGAACAUCUAAAAAAUUUUUGAGUGAAACUUGUUAAAUUAAUUAUUUUGAGUAUUUCUUCUAAAUUAGAUUUGGUUAUUUCAUUUCCAAAUUAUAUAUUCACAAGAAUGUUUUUAGAGGUCUAAUUUAUGUAAUUCUAGCUUGGUUUUCUUUGGAAUAAGCUUUCAUGAAAUAUAUUCUCAGAUAUUAAAUUAUUAUUCUAUUAUUCUCACAUCACAUUUGUAUUUUAUACAGUCUUCUAGAGUAUAAAGUGAACACAAAUUAAGUUUCUGUAAUCUGUAAUUAUCUUUAUGUAAUUAAAAUAUUUUUAUCAUUAGUUUUAAAAACUCAGUAAGUCAAUCAAUCAGCUACAUUGCUUCAAUUGAAAAUAGGCAAUAAUAAUAAUAUUCAC
This 1452-nucleotide long non-coding RNA is filed under the name Aotus nancymaae (Ma's night monkey). RNAcentral describes it as "lncRNA (ENSANAG00000038728.1)". Lineage: Eukaryota; Metazoa; Chordata; Mammalia; Primates; Aotidae. The record is from RNAcentral.